RNAcentral lists this long non-coding RNA (551 nucleotides) under Dromaius novaehollandiae (emu). RNAcentral describes it as "lncRNA (ENSDNVG00000015177.1)". Lineage: Eukaryota; Metazoa; Chordata; Aves; Casuariiformes; Dromaiidae. The record is from RNAcentral.
UAUAAGGAGAAAUAUACAAUUUAAAUGCUGACUUCUGAGAGUGAGGACUCUCACUGACAUCAAUGGGUUCCAGAUGUGCCUGUUUCCUGCUGACGUUCUCACAAGGAAGAGAGAAGAACCCAAGAAGAUGGCUGCGAGUGCUAACCAAAAGCAUGUUGUGUUUUACCAUGGAGAUGCUGUCAGAAGGUGCCAUAAGGAAGGAGGGAAAAUGUCACCUAGCAACAGAAGCCCUGAGAAGAAAACUUCCACACUCACCAGAAGAGGCAGAGCGAGCUGGAGCGUUGAGAGGAGGCACGGACAAGAGCUGAAAAGGCUGCUUGUCUGCUGCUCUGGGGCUGAGCUUAACGCUGUAGUGGUAGGUGCUCUGGGCGCAAACGCUGUGUAAAGGGAAGUUAGCAUCUCUGCCAGUGGUUUGCAUAGAACUUGGUUUGCAUAAUGGGACUUUGGGUUACUUUUUCUGUGACUCUCUAAUUUGAAUUUGAAAAUGAUAAAAUCUUAAAUCAUGAUGGGAAUCUACAUUUUAAUUUAAAAACAGCAAAAAAGUAAACUUG